AGAGUUUGAUCCUGGCUCAGGAUGAACGUUGGCGGUGUGCCUAAUACAUGCAAGUCGAACGGUGACGAUUUUGUAGCAAUACGAAUGAAAUCAUAGUGGCGAACGGGUGAGUAACGCGUUGGUGAUCUGCCUCGAAGUGUGGAAUAACUUCCCGAAAGGGUAGCUAAUACCGCAUAGUCUCUCAAGGUUUAGAAAAUUGAGAGUAAAGGAUUUAUUCGCUUCGAGAGGAGCCUGCGUCCCAUCAGCUAGUUGGUAGGGUAAUAGCCUACCAAGGCAAUGACGGGUAGGGGACCUGAGAGGGUGGCCCCCCACAAUGGAACUGAAACACGGUCCAUACACCUACGGGUGGCAGCAGUAGGGAAUAUUAGAAAUGGGCGAAAGCCUGAUCUAGCAACACCGCGUGUGCGAUGAAGGCCUUCGGGUUGUAAAGCACUUUUUGGAGGGAAUAGGAAGGAAGGUACCUCCAGAAUAAGUCUCGGCUAACUACGUGCCAGCAGCCGCGGUAACACGUAGGAGGCAAACGUUAUCCGGAUUCACUGGGCGUAAAGCGCGUGUAGGUGGUUCUGUAAGUAGGGCGUGAAAGCUCCCGGCUCAACUGGGAGAGGCCGUACUAAACUGCAGAGCUAGAGGAUGGUAGAGGGAGGUGGAAUUCCAGGUGUAGUGGUGAAAUGCGCAGAUAUCUGGAGGAACACCAGUGGCGAAGGCGGCCUCCUGGACCAUUCCUGACACUCAGACGCGAAAGCUAGGGUAGCAAACGGAAUGAGAGACUCCGGUAGUCCUAGCCCUAAACGAUGCAGCCUAGGGCGUCGGCGGUUUAAUCACCGUCGGGUGUCCAAGCUAACACGAUAAGUUUUCCGCCCGAGGAUUACGGCCGCAAGGCUAAAAAUCAAAGGAAUAGACGGGUCCCCGCACAAGCAGCGGAGCGUGUGGUUUAAUUCGAUGCUCCGCGAAGAACCUUACCUGGGUUUGACAUAACAGUGGUAGAGAAGAGAAAACGGAUCGACCCUUCGGGGAGCUGUUACAGGUGUUGCAUGCCUGUCGUCAGCUCGUGUCGUGAGAUGUUCGGUUAAGUCCGCUAACGAGCGCAACCCGCGCUGUGUGUUACAAGUGUCACACAGUACCGCCGGUAUUAAGUCGGAGGAAGGUGCGGAUGACGUCAAGUCAGCAUGACCUUUAUAUCCAGGGCUACACACACGCUACAAUGGUCAGAACAAUAGGUUGCCAAGCCGCAAGGCGGAGCCAAUCCUCCAAAUCUGGCCUCAGUUCAGAUUGCAGGCUGCAACUCGCCUGCAUGAAGUCGGAGUUGCUAGUAACCGCAGGUCAGCAUACUGCGGUGAAUAAGUUCCCGGGGAUUGUACUCACCGCCCGUCAAG
This 1373-nucleotide ribosomal RNA is filed under the name uncultured bacterium. RNAcentral describes it as "bacterial SSU rRNA". It matches the Rfam family "Bacterial small subunit ribosomal RNA". The record is from RNAcentral.